RNAcentral lists this long non-coding RNA (1424 nucleotides) under Nicotiana tabacum (common tobacco). RNAcentral's name for it is "long non-coding RNA (NTAB_LNC008244)". The record is from RNAcentral. Lineage: Eukaryota; Viridiplantae; Streptophyta; Magnoliopsida; Solanales; Solanaceae.
CCACCAUGUCUCUGGUAUGGACCUACCAUGAAUCCCUUCACAACACCAGCACCACAGAUUGCACCAAGGCAUUGCAUCACUAUGUAGAAAACAGCCCUGGUUAAGGACAGUUUCCUUGCCAAGAACAAUCCAAAGGUCACGGCUGGGUUGAUGUGUCCUCCUGUUUCAUGUCAAAACACAAUAUAGUUCAGUUUUAGAGAAAAAUAAAUAAACCCCAAAGGUCCAAAAGCCUAACCAAAGAAGGAAAAGACUCCAUAUUUUUGUAAUUUAGACAGUGAAAAGUACACCGUUAACCAUGUUUUCAACCUCUAAAACAGGGAAAAGCUGAUCUUUUUUGUAAGUAAAUUCAAGAAUCCAUUAGAUUACUUGACUUUAGUAUGAUGUAUAAAGCAAGUAACUAAAAGCUCAAAUAUGGUGAGCAAAAGAGAAUAAACAAGGAGGGUUAGCCACAAAAGGCCAUACUUUAAGUAUAAAGAGGUAAAAAUACAAGCUUGAGCAAGGCAAAUGACUAAGAACCAACAAUAAUGGAAGGGAAAACUCCACUUUUUGCAAUUUAGACACAGCAAGUAAACCAAUUACAUGUUUUGAACAUAUAAAACAGGGAAAAACUGAAUCUUUUUUAUAAAUACUCAAGAAUCCAUUAAAUUAGUUGACAAAAAUAUGAUGCAAGUACAAAGUAACCACAAGCUAAAAUAUGGCGACCAAAAGAGAGGAAAACAAAGAAAAUCAGCCACAAAGGGUCACAUGUUUACAGUAUAAAAAGUACAGGUGAAAACUGAAAUUUUUUCUUAGUACUCAAGAAUCCAUAAAAUUACUUGACAAAGUAUGAUAUACAAAAUAAGUGACCACAAGCUCAAAUAUGGCGCCACAAAAGGCUAUACUUUUAGUACAAUAAGAGUAAAGGAACAAACUUGAGCAAGAUUAAAGACUUCAUUUUCUGUAAUUGAGACGGAUAAAGUUAACCAAUAAACAUGUUUUCAACUUCUAAAACAGGAAAAGACUGAAUCUUUUUUUAUAAAUACUCAAGAAUCCACUCAAUUAGUUGACAAAAGUAUGAUGUAAGUACAAAGUAAACCACAAGCUAAAAUAUGGUGAGCAAACGAAAGUAAACAAAGAAAAUUAGCCACAAAAUGUUAUACCUAUAUAUUAGCAUAAAUGAACAAGCUUUAGCAAGAUAAUGACUAAGAAACAACAAGAAAUGAAAAGGAAAAAAACUAACCUGAGAUACCAGCAGUGCAGUAAACCAAAGCAAAGAUCAUACCACCAAAAGCCCAAGCAACACCUUGAAUACCAACUGAAGAACAUAAACUAUCAGAUCUCUUAAGACCCAUCACAGUCAAGAUAGUGAUGUACAAGAACAAGAAAGUGGCCAUAAAUUCUGCAAUUCCGGCUCUGUAAAAAGACCAAGAUGACAACUCCCCUGG